RNAcentral lists this long non-coding RNA (1136 nucleotides) under Mus pahari (shrew mouse). RNAcentral's name for it is "lncRNA (MGP_PahariEiJ_G0006375.1)". The record is from RNAcentral. Lineage: Eukaryota; Metazoa; Chordata; Mammalia; Rodentia; Muridae.
AGAAAGACUCCUGACUGUGGGUAAAGAGAUCUGAGGUUUGGUCUCUGGUGCCAUCACUCAUGAGGGAACCUUGGGCACAUCUCUAGUCAGCUUCAGGUUUCCUUCCCCAUCUAAGUCUGCUAAGAGAGUCAGGAAGAAAGUCCAACAGGAGCUUUGCCAGUUCUGACAUUCUAUCACAUGAAUGCACACAGCUGGGUGGCAGCAUUCUGGUCUCAUCUCUUAGUCACAAAGGUACUCCACUGUAUCAGAAUAUUUUCCUUGGCUGUGACCUCAGGCUAGGCCACAGGUCAGGACAGAAGAUAACACAGGGACCGUAUUGCUAUGGAGAAGAAGACAAGAAGUUAUCUGUUUUUCAAACAUAGAUGUGGAAUUAGGAAGUGAGAAAGAAAUGGAAUCUAGACUAGUCCAGUGGAUUGGAAUGAUCCCUUGGGGCUGUUGUCUUGAACAUGUCAGUUCCAGCUGCUGAAACACUGGGACCAUAGAGGGGUGAUAGAAAUUAGAAGACGGAGGUCAAUUAGGACCACGGUGGGGUUGGGGAAGACAAAGAAUUUGGUUUCUCACCUGUAAGCCAUAGGCAGCUGAUGGGAUGUUCAUUGCAGGAAGGAUUCUGGAUCUGAGUUUCAGAGUGAGCUUCCAUGGGCUAUGUGAAAUCACACACUAAAGGCUAGGAGUGGUCCAGGAGGUGAAAGCAACAGAUCAGGGAGAGGUCAGAAGCCGGAGUCAGGGUAGUGGCAAUGGGGUGGGAAAGAGAAGGACGUGGGCAGCAGAAUGGCUACAGUUUGGGGGUAUCUAGACACCAGGGCAGCAUUCUGGUCAGUUUUAUAUCAACUUGGCACAAUCCAGAGUCACUUGGGAAGAGGGACUCUAAACUGAGAAAUGCCUCCCUAAGGUUGGACAAUAGGCAAGUGUGAGAUAUAUUUUUAAUUAACGCUUGAUGUGGGUGGUGCCGCCCUUGGAUUGGAGUGGCAGUGUGUGUGGGAGCAGGGGUCAUCUGGGUAGUAUACGCAAGCCAUGAGGGGCAAGCCAGUAAGCAGCAUUCUCUAUAGCCUCUGCUUUAGCUCCUGCCUCCAGGUUUCUACCUUGAGCUCCUGGCCUGCCUUCCCUUACUGAUGAAACAGGACUGGAAAGUUAAAAGG